CYUAGCYGCUGUUGAAGCUCCAUCUACAAUGGAUAAGACUUUUGUCUUAAUGUAUAUGAAUCUCUGAAGGAAAAUAUCUUAUAAUGAUGAAUGGAAAAAARAGAAAAUCCUUCCCCUUUAUAUUUUUCGGAUGUAUGAAGUGGAUCAAGGGAUUUUUUUGUGAAUCCMCCAUGCGCGCCKGUGUGAAAUUUUWAUUUUUACAUUUUUAARAUUGGCAUUCUAUGUUCAAUAUCUCGAUCUAAUAAGGUAAGAAUAAAUUUAAAUACAAUAAUGAUGAAUGGAAAAAGAGAAAAUCCUUUAGCUAGGGCGGAUGUAGCCAAGUGGAUCAAGGCAGU
This 335-nucleotide unclassified non-coding RNA is filed under the name Dioscorea transversa. Its description in RNAcentral is "partial miscellaneous RNA". Lineage: Eukaryota; Viridiplantae; Streptophyta; Magnoliopsida; Dioscoreales; Dioscoreaceae. The record is from RNAcentral.